AAAAUCCUCAAUACAGAGCCGAGGUAGCCUAGUUCGGAGAAUCACCAAAACAAAUCUAAAGAAUAUCAAAACCUGUGUUUUGAUCCGGUUUUCUUGCAUCGGGUAUUUAACGAUUUCUUCACUACUUAGGGCUUGGAAAACGAUUUCUUCACUACUUAGUCUCAGCAAAGAACUCGACCAAUCCGAAAACAGGAAAGUUGAAAAUUAAAACAAACAGAACCCAUAAAUUCCUCUCAUCUGUAAAAAUUCCUGGUAGGUAUCCUUUACAGAGGAAUUAUCUUUUCUCCAAGGUAAAUAAAAAUCUAAAAAUUCUG
This 314-nucleotide long non-coding RNA is filed under the name Nicotiana benthamiana. Its description in RNAcentral is "long non-coding RNA (NBEN_LNC040117)". The record is from RNAcentral. Lineage: Eukaryota; Viridiplantae; Streptophyta; Magnoliopsida; Solanales; Solanaceae.